AGCGAACGCUGGCGGCAGGCCUAACACAUGCAAGUCGAACGAACCUUUCGGGGUUAGUGGCGGACGGGUGAGUAACACGUGGGAACGUGCCUUUAGGUUCGGAAUAACUCAGGGAAACUUGUGCUAAUACCGAAUGUGCCCUUCGGGGGAAAGAUUUAUCGCCUUUAGAGCGGCCCGCGUCUGAUUAGCUAGUUGGUUGAGGUAAUGGCUCACCAAGGCGACGAUCAGUAGCUGGUCUGAGAGGAUGAUCAACCACAUUGGGACUGAGACACGGCCCAAACUCCUACGGGAGGCAGCAGUGGGGAAUCUUGCGCAAUGGGCGCAAGCCUGACGCAGCCAUGCCGCGUGAAUGAUGAAGGUCUUAGGAUUGUAAAUUUCUUUCACCGGGGACGAUAAUGACGGUACCCGGAGAAGAAGCCCCGGCUAACUUCGUG
RNAcentral lists this ribosomal RNA (434 nucleotides) under uncultured bacterium. RNAcentral's name for it is "partial 16S ribosomal RNA". It matches the Rfam family "Bacterial small subunit ribosomal RNA", at positions 29 to 507 of the family's 1533-position model. The record is from RNAcentral.